RNAcentral lists this ribosomal RNA (704 nucleotides) under uncultured Stenotrophomonas sp. RNAcentral describes it as "bacterial SSU rRNA". It matches the Rfam family "Bacterial small subunit ribosomal RNA", at positions 56 to 750 of the family's 1533-position model. Lineage: Bacteria; Pseudomonadati; Pseudomonadota; Gammaproteobacteria; Lysobacterales; Lysobacteraceae. The record is from RNAcentral.
UGCAGUCGAACGGCAGCACAGAGGAGCUUGCUCCUUGGGGGGCGAGUGGCGGACGGGGGAGGAAUACAUCGGAAUCUACUCUGUCGUGGGGGAUAACGUAGGGAAACUUACGCUAAUACCGCAUACGACCUACGGGGGAAAGCAGGGGAUCUUCGGACCUUGCGCGAUUGAAUGAGCCGAUGUCGGAUUAGCUAGUUGGCGGGGUAAAGGCCCACCAAGGCGACGAUCCGUAGCUGGUCUGAGAGGAUGAUCAGCCACACUGGAACUGAGACACGGUCCAGACUCCUACGGGAGGCAGCAGUGGGGAAUAUUGGACAAUGGGCGCAAGCCUGAUCCAGCCAUACCGCGUGGGGGAAGAAGGCCUUCGGGUUUUAAAGCCCUUUUUUUGGGAAAGAAAUCCAGCUGGCUAAUACCCGGUUGGGAUGACGGUACCCAAAGAAUAAGCACCGGCUAACUUCGUGCCAGCAGCCGCGGUAAUACGAAGGGGGCAAGCGUUACUCGGAAUUACUGGGCGUAAAGCGUGCGUAGGGGGUCGUUUAAGUCCGUUUUGAAAGCCCUGGGCUCAACCUGGGAACUGCAGUGGAUACCGGGCGACUAGAAUGUGGUAGAGGGUAGCGGAAUUCCUGGGGUAGCAGUGAAAUGCGUAGAGAUCAGGAGGAACAUCCAUGGCGAAGGCAGCUACCUGGACCAACAUUGACACUGGG